RNAcentral lists this ribosomal RNA (254 nucleotides) under uncultured bacterium. Its description in RNAcentral is "partial 16S ribosomal RNA". It matches the Rfam family "Bacterial small subunit ribosomal RNA", at positions 524 to 777 of the family's 1533-position model. The record is from RNAcentral.
UACGAAGGGUGCAAACGUUGCUCGGAAUUAUUGGGCGUAAAGCGCACGUAGGCGGCGCUGCAAGUCCCAUGUGAAAUCCCACGGCUCAACCGUGGAAGUGCAUGGGAAACUGCAGUGCUUGAGUACUUAAGAGGAUCGCGGAAUUCCCGGUGUAGAGGUGAAAUUCGUAGAUAUCGGGAGGAACACCAGUGGCGAAGGCGGCGAUCUGGGAAGAUACUGACGCUGAGGUGCGAAAGCGUGGGGAGCAAACAGGG